This 2916-nucleotide ribosomal RNA is filed under the name Vibrio parahaemolyticus. RNAcentral describes it as "bacterial LSU rRNA". It matches the Rfam family "Bacterial large subunit ribosomal RNA". Lineage: Bacteria; Pseudomonadati; Pseudomonadota; Gammaproteobacteria; Vibrionales; Vibrionaceae. The record is from RNAcentral.
GUUGUAUGGUUAAGUGACUAAGCGUACACGGUGGAUGCCUUGGCAGUCAGAGGCGAUGAAAGACGUAGUAACUUGCGAUAAGCCCAGAUUAGGUAGUAACAACCAUUUGAGUCUGGGAUUUCUGAAUGGGGAAACCCACGUGCAUAAGCACGUAUCCUUACCUGAAUACAUAGGGUAAGGAGGCGAACCGGGGGAACUGAAACAUCUAAGUACCCCGAGGAAAAGAAAUCAACCGAGAUUCCGAAAGUAGCGGCGAGCGAAAUUGGACUAGCCCUUAAGCUUUACACGCGUUAGACGAACGGUCUGGAAAGUCCGACGAUACAGGGUGAUAGUCCCGUAGUUGACGACGUGUGUUCAGUGAAAUCGAGUAGGGCGGGACACGUGAUAUCCUGUCUGAAUAUGGGGGGACCAUCCUCCAAGGCUAAAUACUACUGACUGACCGAUAGUGAACCAGUACCGUGAGGGAAAGGCGAAAAGAACCCCUGUGAGGGGAGUGAAAUAGAACCUGAAACCGUGUACGUACAAGCAGUAGGAGCAGGCUUUGUCCUGUGACUGCGUACCUUUUGUAUAAUGGGUCAGCGACUUAUAUUCAGUGGCAAGGUUAACCAUCUAGGGGAGCCGUAGGGAAACCGAGUCUUAACUGGGCGUUCAGUCUCUGGAUAUAGACCCGAAACCAGGUGAUCUAGCCAUGGGCAGGUUGAAGGUUGAGUAACAUCAACUGGAGGACCGAACCGACUAAUGUUGAAAAAUUAGCGGAUGACUUGUGGCUAGGGGUGAAAGGCCAAUCAAACCUGGAGAUAGCUGGUUCUCCCCGAAAGCUAUUUAGGUAGCGCCUCGGACGAAUACUACUGGGGGUAGAGCACUGUUAAGGCUAGGGGGUCAUCCCGACUUACCAACCCUUUGCAAACUCCGAAUACCAGUAAGUACUAUCCGGGAGACACACGGCGGGUGCUAACGUCCGUCGUGGAGAGGGAAACAACCCAGACCGCCAGCUAAGGUCCCAAAUUACUACUAAGUGGGAAACGAUGUGGGAAGGCUCAGACAGCCAGGAUGUUGGCUUAGAAGCAGCCAUCAUUUAAAGAAAGCGUAAUAGCUCACUGGUCGAGUCGGCCUGCGCGGAAGAUGUAACGGGGCUAAGUAGUAAACCGAAGCUGCGGCAAUAUACUUUUGUAUAUUGGGUAGGGGAGCGUUCUGUAAGCGGUUGAAGGUGUGUGGUAACGCAUGCUGGACGUAUCAGAAGUGCGAAUGCUGACAUGAGUAACGAUAAAGGGGGUGAAAAACCUCCUCGCCGGAAGACCAAGGGUUCCUGUCCAACGUUAAUCGGGGCAGGGUAAGUCGACCCCUAAGGCGAGGCCGAAAGGCGUAGUCGAUGGGAAACGGGUUAAUAUUCCCGUACUUCUUACAAUUGCGAUGGGGGGACGGAGAAGGCUAGGUGGGCCUGGCGACGGUUGUCCAGGUUCAAGUGCGUAGGCUGAGGGGUUAGGUAAAUCCGGUUUCUCUUAAGGCUGAGACACGACGUCGAGCACCUACGGGUGUGAAGUCAUUGAUGCCAUGCUUCCAGGAAAAGCCUCUAAGCUUCAGAUUGUAAGGAAUCGUACCCCAAACCGACACAGGUGGUCGGGUAGAGAAUACCAAGGCGCUUGAGAGAACUCGGGUGAAGGAACUAGGCAAAAUGGUACCGUAACUUCGGGAGAAGGUACGCUCUUGAUGGUGAAGUCCCUCGCGGAUGGAGCUGACGAGAGUCGCAGAUACCAGGUGGCUGCAACUGUUUAUUAAAAACACAGCACUGUGCAAAAUCGUAAGAUGACGUAUACGGUGUGACGCCUGCCCGGUGCCGGAAGGUUAAUUGAUGGGGUUAGACUUCGGUCGAAGCUCUUGAUCGAAGCCCCGGUAAACGGCGGCCGUAACUAUAACGGUCCUAAGGUAGCGAAAUUCCUUGUCGGGUAAGUUCCGACCUGCACGAAUGGCGUAAUGAUGGCCACGCUGUCUCCACCCGAGACUCAGUGAAAUUGAAAUCGCUGUGAAGAUGCAGUGUACCCGCGGCUAGACGGAAAGACCCCGUGAACCUUUACUACAGCUUGGCACUGAACAUUGACCCUACAUGUGUAGGAUAGGUGGGAGGCUUUGAAGCACGUACGCCAGUAUGUGUGGAGCCGUCCUUGAAAUACCACCCUUGUAGUGUUGAUGUUCUAACGUCGACCCCUUAUCGGGGUUGCGGACAGUGCCUGGUGGGUAGUUUGACUGGGGCGGUCUCCUCCCAAAGAGUAACGGAGGAGCACGAAGGUGGGCUAAUCACGGUUGGACAUCGUGAGGUUAGUGCAAUGGCAUAAGCCCGCUUGACUGCGAGAAUGACAAUUCGAGCAGGUGCGAAAGCAGGUCAUAGUGAUCCGGUGGUUCUGAAUGGAAGGGCCAUCGCUCAACGGAUAAAAGGUACUCCGGGGAUAACAGGCUGAUACCGCCCAAGAGUUCAUAUCGACGGCGGUGUUUGGCACCUCGAUGUCGGCUCAUCACAUCCUGGGGCUGAAGUCGGUCCCAAGGGUAUGGCUGUUCGCCAUUUAAAGUGGUACGCGAGCUGGGUUUAGAACGUCGUGAGACAGUUCGGUCCCUAUCUGCCGUGGGCGUUGGAAGAUUGAAGGGGGCUGCUCCUAGUACGAGAGGACCGGAGUGGACGAACCUCUGGUGUUCGGGUUGUGUCGCCAGACGCAUUGCCCGGUAGCUAAGUUCGGAAUCGAUAACCGCUGAAAGCAUCUAAGCGGGAAGCGAGCCCUGAGAUGAGUCUUCCCUGAUACUUUAAGUAUCCUAAAGGGUUGUCGGAGACUACGACGUUGAUAGGUCAGGUGUGUAAGUGCUGUGAGGCAUUGAGCUAACUGAUACUAAUUGCCCGUGAGGCUUAACCAUACAACACCCAAGGGGUUU